Long non-coding RNA from Mus musculus (house mouse), 362 nucleotides. RefSeq annotates it as predicted gene, 38596. Lineage: Eukaryota; Metazoa; Chordata; Mammalia; Rodentia; Muridae. The transcript has 2 exons. The record is from RefSeq and is a predicted model, not a curated record.
GGUUUCUCUGUGUAUAGUCAUGGCUGUCUGGAACUCACUCUGUACACCAGGCUGGCCUCGAACUCAGAAAUCUGCCUGCCUCUGCCUCCCAAGUGCUGGGAUUAAAGACGUGAUCCACCACCACCUGGCAAACAGGAUGAAUUGAACAUGAAUUUUCUUUUGUCGAUCAUGUGGGUAUGCUGGAAGGCCACAAGCUUUUCAUCCAGGAUCUAUAAAUUGCUGCUCUGGCAGUGGCAAGCAUGUUUUCCUCUGAGACUUACUUAGACUCACAUAUCCUAAUCAAGAACUUCCAAGAUAUGUUGACAUGGAAGAUUCCCCAGAAUAUUCCAGAAUGACUCAAAUACAUACUUGAAAACUCUAAA